GACGAACGCUGGCGGCGUGCUUAACACAUGCAAGUCGAACGGAAAGGCCCUGCUUGCAGGGUACUCGAGUGGCGAACGGGUGAGUAACACGUGGGUGAUCUGCCCUGCACUUCGGGAUAAGCCUGGGAAACUGGGUCUAAUACCGGAUAGGAGCCAUUUUUAGGGUGAUGGUUGGAAAGUUUUUUCGGUGUAGGAUGAGCUCGCGGCCUAUCAGCUUGUUGGUGGGGUAAUGGCCUACCAAGGCGGCGACGGGUAGCCGGCCUGAGAGGGUGGACGGCCACAUUGGGACUGAGAUACGGCCCAGACUCCUACGGGAGGCAGCAGUGGGGAAUAUUGCACAAUGGGCGCAAGCCUGAUGCAGCGACGCCGCGUGGGGGAUGACGGCCUUCGGGUUGUAAACUCCUUUCGCUAGGGACGAAGCUUUUGUGACGGUACCUAGAUAAGAAGCACCGGCUAACUACGUG
This 464-nucleotide ribosomal RNA is filed under the name uncultured bacterium. Its description in RNAcentral is "partial 16S ribosomal RNA". It matches the Rfam family "Bacterial small subunit ribosomal RNA", at positions 28 to 507 of the family's 1533-position model. The record is from RNAcentral.